Molecule: non-coding RNA, 74 nt
Organism: Cordylochernes scorpioides
Lineage: Eukaryota; Metazoa; Arthropoda; Arachnida; Pseudoscorpiones; Chernetidae
Source: the annotation of a GenBank genome assembly
UCCAGGGUAGCCUAGUGGACAUGGUCAUCUGCGCGGUAAGCGGAACACUGUGGGUUCGAUUCCCAUCCCUGGAC